Non-coding RNA from Danio rerio (zebrafish), 1262 nucleotides. The record is from RefSeq and is a predicted model, not a curated record. Lineage: Eukaryota; Metazoa; Chordata; Actinopteri; Cypriniformes; Danionidae.
AAAUUUCUGGAGUUGAAAAAUUAGGAGUUAGGCAAAAAAGUGUGAAAGAGUUAAUUUUUUUGAGUUUAUUUUUAAACUUUAACACAAUUUUGUGUUAUGGGAUACCCCUUGCUGUGUUGUAUUCUGGAGUUCAUUCUCUGGUGUUCAGAAACGUGCUUUAACUCCUUACUGGAGUUAAAUUUUUUGAUAAAGUCCGCCAUUACACAACUCUGCCGAGCAGCACAUGAGAACUGGAGUUAUGUUCUUCGUUGUGAGGUAGGUAAAAGUGCAUUGUUAUACAAUUCUAAAAGCUUUUUCUAAAUGUUGGAUGUUUUGUAGCAGAAGUGUGUUUUGGUGUAGCUGUUUCAUUUUGUACUGUGAGGCUAGUGACUGCAUGUGGCUAACUUAGCAUAGCAUGUUAGCUUUUCCAAUGUGGCUGUUUUGUGCAGUUUUUAAAAAAAUGUUGUGGAUGUGAACAAGCUAACACUAGCUAAUAAUCUUUUCUUCCCCUGUGUUUCUAAAAAUGUGUGUUCUGCUGUCAAAAAGAAGUGGUAGGCCUACUUGAUCAGAUGGAGAAACCUGCUGUUCACAUUUCAAAUAGGCUAACUUACACAACGAGGCCACGAUGCUGAUAAAAGUGCAAUUUGGAGGCAAGAAAAAAUAUAUUAAACUGGAAGAAGAUUGUUUCUUGGAUUUUUUUCAGUGCGGUCCAGCACAAGUUUGUGAUACCAGAGGAUACAGCAUCGAAAGUCACAGAUGACCAUGGCAUAGAGGUGGAUGAGGAUGUAUUUCAAGAACUUGCAACAACCAAAGAAACAUGUCAUCCACACUAAUGAUGAUUUGACUGUCCUGCAGCAAGGGGCUGUUGAAGUGCCCUCCUCCCCAAGUCUGACAGAUACAUUGUCUUUGUCAAGCAGUUUGAGCAGCAGUGAUUCUGGAUCUCAAAUUAUUCAACCUUUAAUGGGCAGUGUCCAAAAAAUAAAAUCGAGCAAAUUCUAACUUCAAAGCCAGCAGAGUUGACUGUGAUUAAGGAGUAUGACAAGAUAUUUUUUUGCUGCUUCUGAUUCCUGUGAAGUUAAUUUUAUAUAAUGUAAUGUGUUGAUUGUCUCAUGCAAUUUUACUAGGCCAUUGGUUUUAGUUGGCACUAGCUGCUAACAUAUAUUAAUUGUAAAUGUUUUGCUGUUAGAUUUAAUGCUUUGAUGACAAUUAAUUUCAAAGUGUGUACAUCGAUGGAAAUUCUAAAUCUAAUGUGUGGAUUUGCAUGAAUAAAAGCAGUAAGUAAA